This 371-nucleotide ribosomal RNA is filed under the name uncultured bacterium. RNAcentral's name for it is "bacterial SSU rRNA". It matches the Rfam family "Bacterial small subunit ribosomal RNA", at positions 527 to 898 of the family's 1533-position model. The record is from RNAcentral.
GUAGGGUGCGAGCGUUAAUCGGAAUUACUGGGCGUAAAGCGUGCGCAGGCGGCUUUGCAAGACAGAUGUGAAAUCCCCGGGCUUAACCUGGGAACUGCAUUUGUGACUGCAUGGCUCGAGUGCGGCAGAGGGGGAUGGAAUUCCGCGUGUAGCAGUGAAAUGCGUAGAUAUGCGGAGGAACACCGAUGGCGAAGGCAAUCCCCUGGGCCUGCACUGACGCUCAUGCACGAAAGCGUGGGGAGCAAACAGGAUUAGAUACCCUGGUAGUCCACGCCCUAAACGAUGUCAACUGGUUGUUGGACGGCUUGCUGUUCAGUAACGAAGCUAACGCGUGAAGUUGACCGCCUGGGGAGUACGGCCGCAAGGUUGAA